RNAcentral lists this non-coding RNA (31 nucleotides) under Mus musculus (house mouse). Lineage: Eukaryota; Metazoa; Chordata; Mammalia; Rodentia; Muridae. The record is from RNAcentral.
UCAUGUGUAAGUUAAUAGUAUGGGUGCCUGU